This 497-nucleotide ribosomal RNA is filed under the name uncultured bacterium. RNAcentral describes it as "partial 16S ribosomal RNA". It matches the Rfam family "Bacterial small subunit ribosomal RNA", at positions 28 to 507 of the family's 1533-position model. The record is from RNAcentral.
GAUGAACGCUGGCGGCGUGCCUAAUACAUGCAAGUCGAGCGAACGGACAAGAAGCUUGCUCCUUUGAGGUUAGCGGCGGACGGGUGAGUAACACGUGGAUAACCUACCUAUAAGACUGGGAUAACUUCGGGAAACCGGAGCUAAUACCGGAUAAUAUUUUGAACCGCAUGGUUCAAAAGUGAAAGACGGUUUUGCUGUCACUUAUAGAUGGAUCCGCGCUGCAUUAGCUAGUUGGUAAGGUAACGGCUUACCAAGGCAACGAUGCGUAGCCGACCUGAGAGGGUGAUCGGCCACACUGGAACUGAGACACGGUCCAGACUCCUACGGGAGGCAGCAGUAGGGAAUCUUCCGCAAUGGGCGAAAGCCUGACGGAGCAACGCCGCGUGAGUGAUGAAGGUCUUCGGAUCGUAAAACUCUGUUAUUAGGGAAGAACAUAUGUGUAAGUAACUGUGCACGUCUUGACGGUACCUAAUCAGAAAGCCACGGCUAACUACGUG